This 1269-nucleotide ribosomal RNA is filed under the name Embiidae sp. KBMEB140. RNAcentral describes it as "eukaryotic LSU rRNA". It matches the Rfam family "Eukaryotic large subunit ribosomal RNA", at positions 700 to 1847 of the family's 3401-position model. Lineage: Eukaryota; Metazoa; Arthropoda; Insecta; Embioptera; Embiidae. The record is from RNAcentral.
GAGAAACCCCAAAAGGUCGAACGGGAGGAUUCACGUCCGCCCGGCCCCGCCCGACGUCGACGGCUGCCCGCCACGGUUCGGUCGCGCAGAGGGAGGACGGCCCCGCCCCGAGCGGAGCCCGCACUCCCGGAGCGUCUCGCCGCGGCGAGGAGAGACGCACCCAGAGCGUACACGUUGGGACCCGAAAGAUGGUGAACUAUGCCUGGCCAGGAUGGAGUCAGGGGAAAGUCUGAUGGAGGUCCGUAGCGAUUCUGACGUGCAAAUUGAUCGUCGGAGCUGGGUAUAGGGGCGAAAGACCAAUCAAACCAUCUAGUAGCUGGUUCCCCCCGAAGUUUCCCUCAGGAUAGCUGGCGCUCGGAGGAGAGAGUCUCAUAUGGUAAAGCAAAUAAUUAGAGGCCUUCGGGCCGAAACGACCUCAACCUAUUCUCAAACUUUAAAUGGGUGAGAUCUCCGGCUUGCUAGAAGUGAAGCCGGAGACGGAUCGUAGUGCCAAUGUGCCAUUUUUGGUAAGCAGAACUGGCGCUGUGGGAUGAACCAAACGCAGAGUUAAGGCGCCCAAAGCGACGCUCACGGGAAACUAUGAAAGGUGUUGGUUGCUUAAGACAACAGAACGGUGGCCAUAGAAGUCGGAACCCACUAAGGAGUGUGUAACAACUCACCUGCCGAAGCAACUAGCCCUGAAAAUGGAUGGCGCUGAAGCGUCGUGCCUAUACUCUGCCAUCGGCGCCAGGAGGGGGCCCGGCCGAGGCCGGGCCCCGGCCAAGCCCCGACGAGUAGGAGGGUCGCGGUAGCGAGCCUGUCUGAAGCCGGCGCAGAUCUUGGUGGUAGUAGCAAAUACUCCAGCUAGGACCUGGAGGACUGACGCGGAGAAGGGUUUCGUGUGAACAGCCGUUGCACACGAGUCAGUCGAUCCUAAGCCCUAGGAGAUAUCCUAAGCCGAUGGUUCGGCGUACAGUAUAAAGCAAGCUCGGCCGACCGUCGGGCGAAAGGGAAUCCGGUUCCUAUUCCGGAACCCGGCAGCGAAACCGUUCUAAUUCGGGCACUCGCGAGAGGACUCGUGGGAGUAACCCAACAGGACCCGGAACGCCGUCGGGAGAUCCGGGAAGAGUUUUCUUUUCUGCAUGAGCGUUCGAGUUCCCUGGAAUCCUCUAGCAGGGAGAUAGAGUUUGGAACGCGAAGAGCACCGCAGUUGCGGCGGUGUCCCGAUCUUCCCCUCGGACCUUGAAAAUCCGGGAGGGGGCCACGUGAAGCUUUCGCGCCGGCUCAUAC